RNAcentral lists this ribosomal RNA (449 nucleotides) under Bradyrhizobium sp. PAC24. RNAcentral describes it as "partial 16S rRNA". The stretch from base 118 to 449 matches the Rfam family "Bacterial small subunit ribosomal RNA", at positions 1 to 358 of the family's 1533-position model. The record is from RNAcentral. Lineage: Bacteria; Pseudomonadati; Pseudomonadota; Alphaproteobacteria; Hyphomicrobiales; Nitrobacteraceae.
UUCCGGUUGUAUGUUGUGUGGAAUUGUGAGCGGAUAACAAUUUCACACAGGAAACAGCUAUGACCAUGAUUACGCCAAGCUUGGUACCGAGCUCGGAUCCACUAGUAACGGCCGCCAGUGUGCUGGAAUUCGGCUUUGGCUCAGAACGAACGCUGGCGGCAGGCUUAACACAUGCAAGUCGAGCGGGCGUAGCAAUACGUCAGCGGCAGACGGGUGAGUAAACGCGUGGGAACGUACCUUUUGGUUCGGAACAACACAGGGAAACUUGUGCUAAUACCGGAUAAGCCCUUACGGGGAAAGAUUUAUCGCCGAAAGAUCGGCCCGCGUCUGAUUAGCUAGUUGGUAGGGUAAUGGCCUACCAAGGCGACGAUCAGUAGCUGGUCUGAGAGGAUGAUCAGCCACAUUGGGACUGAGACACGGCCCAAACUCCUACGGGAGGCAGCAGUGGG